Molecule: ribosomal RNA, 294 nt
Filed under: Escherichia coli
Lineage: Bacteria; Pseudomonadati; Pseudomonadota; Gammaproteobacteria; Enterobacterales; Enterobacteriaceae
Description: partial 23S ribosomal RNA
Rfam family: Bacterial large subunit ribosomal RNA
Source: RNAcentral
CCAGACAGCCAGGAUGUUGGCUUAGAAGCAGCCAUCAUUUAAAGAAAGCGUAAUAGCUCACUGGUCGAGUCGGCCUGCGCGGAAGAUGUAACGGGGCUAAACCAUGCACCGAAGCUGCGGCAGCGACACUGUGUGUUGUUGGGUAGGGGAGCGUUCUGUAAGCCUGUGAAGGUGUACUGUGAGGUAUGCUGGAGGUAUCAGAAGUGCGAAUGCUGACAUAAGUAACGAUAAAGCGGGUGAAAAGCCCGCUCGCCGGAAGACCAAGGGUUCCUGUCCAACGUUAAUCGGGGCAGG